AAUGAACGUUGGCGGCGUGGAUUAGGCAUGCAAGUCGUACGGGCCGCAAGGCCAGUGGCGCAAGGGUGAGUAAUGCGACGGUAACCAACCCCAUGGGUGGGUAUAGCCGCGGGAAACUGCGGGUAAUCCCCAGCGAAGCAAAGCGAUCGGCAUCGAUCGUUUGCCAAAGCUCCGGCGCCGUGGGACGGGCCGUCGUGGUAUUAGGUAGUUGGGGGGGUAACGGCCCACCAAGCCGACGAUGCCUACCGGGCGUGCGAGCGAGGCCCGGCACACUGGGACUUGAAGACGGCCCAGACGCCGACGGGAGGCUGCGGUCGAGAAUCUUCGGCAAUGGGCGCAAGCCUGACCGAGCGACGCCGCGUGGAGGACGAAGGCCUUCGGGUUGUAAACUCCUGUCGAGGGGAAAGAAGGUCCGCAAGGACUUGACUGAUCCCUGGAGGAAGCACGGGCUAAGUUCGUGCCAGCCGCCGCGGUAA
RNAcentral lists this ribosomal RNA (476 nucleotides) under uncultured bacterium. Its description in RNAcentral is "partial 16S ribosomal RNA". It matches the Rfam family "Bacterial small subunit ribosomal RNA", at positions 28 to 523 of the family's 1533-position model. The record is from RNAcentral.